Molecule: ribosomal RNA, 485 nt
Filed under: uncultured Rhodoferax sp.
Lineage: Bacteria; Pseudomonadati; Pseudomonadota; Betaproteobacteria; Burkholderiales; Comamonadaceae
Description: bacterial SSU rRNA
Rfam family: Bacterial small subunit ribosomal RNA
Source: RNAcentral
AAACUUAAAUGAAUUGACGAGGACCCGCACAAGCGGUGGAUGAUGUGGUUUAAUUCGAUGCAACGCGAAAAACCUUACCCACCUUUGACAUGUACGGAACCCUUUAGAGAUAGAGGGGUGCUCGAAAGAGAGCCGUAACACAGGUGCUGCAUGGCUGUCGUCAGCUCGUGUCGUGAGAUGUUGGGUUAAGUCCCGCAACGAGCGCAACCCUUGUCAUUAGUUGCUACAUUCAGUUGGGCACUCUAAUGAGACUGCCGGUGACAAGCCGGAGGAAGGUGGGGAUGACGUCAAGUCCUCAUGGCCCUUAUAGGUGGGGCUACACACGUCAUACAAUGGCUGGUACAAAGGGUUGCCAACCCGCGAGGGGGAGCCAAUCCCAUAAAGCCAGUCGUAGUCCGGAUCGUAGUCUGCAACUCGACUACGUGAAGUCGGAAUCGCUAGUAAUCGUGGAUCAGAAUGUCACGGUGAAUACGUUCCCGGGUCUU